Molecule: ribosomal RNA, 695 nt
Filed under: Microbacterium flavescens
Lineage: Bacteria; Bacillati; Actinomycetota; Actinomycetes; Micrococcales; Microbacteriaceae
Description: bacterial SSU rRNA
Rfam family: Bacterial small subunit ribosomal RNA
Source: RNAcentral
UAGUGGUUGGAAAGAUUUUUCGGUCUGGGAUGGGCUCGCGGCCUAUCAGCUUGUUGGUGAGGUAAUGGCUCACCAAGGCGUCGACGGGUAGCCGGCCUGAGAGGGUGACCGGCCACACUGGGACUGAGACACGGCCCAGACUCCUACGGGAGGCAGCAGUGGGGAAUAUUGCACAAUGGGCGGAAGCCUGAUGCAGCAACGCCGCGUGAGGGACGACGGCCUUCGGGUUGUAAACCUCUUUUAGCAAGGAAGAAGCGAAAGUGACGGUACUUGCAGAAAAAGCGCCGGCUAACUACGUGCCAGCAGCCGCGGUAAUACGUAGGGCGCAAGCGUUAUCCGGAAUUAUUGGGCGUAAAGAGCUCGUAGGCGGUUUGUCGCGUCUGCUGUGAAAACCCGAGGCUCAACCUCGGGCCUGCAGUGGGUACGGGCAGACUAGAGUGCGGUAGGGGAGAUUGGAAUUCCUGGUGUAGCGGUGGAAUGCGCAGAUAUCAGGAGGAACACCGAUGGCGAAGGCAGAUCUCUGGGCCGUAACUGACGCUGAGGAGCGAAAGGGUGGGGAGCAAACAGGCUUAGAUACCCUGGUAGUCCACCCCGUAAACGUUGGGAACUAGUUGUGGGGUCCAUUCCACGGAUUCCGUGACGCAGCUAACGCAUUAAGUUCCCCGCCUGGGGAGUACGGCCGCCAGGCUAAAACU